UGAUCCUCCCCACUCAUAUCCUUCAGGACACAGUGGAAGACUAGUCUCUGGACAGGCUGACUAGACCCACAGUAGGCCUUGUCUGAGGAAGCCGUCCAAGAGAAUGUGAGGCUACUAGGUGACGGGUGCUGGCGCAGGGGGCUCUAGUGCAGAGUAGGGGUGCUUGGUGUCUAGGCAGGGAUGGUGGUGGCCAGUGGGGCAGUUUAAUUUUCAAUCUCUCACUGACCCUGGAUCUCCAUUUGGCCAAGGCAUCCCAGCCAUUCUCCUGUCUCUGCCCGUCCCAUGCUGGCAGGAUUGUUGGCACAUUCCCAGCCACGUGAUGUCUAAAUGACUGUUCCCAUGAGCUGCUUUGGAACAUGACACGUAGAGAGGAAGAAGAACAUGCCAGGACCCACACAGUGAGUAAGUGGAGACCCUGGAUCCCAGGUCCAGCUAUUCUAGAAAGUUCUGCUCAAUUCCAGAACUUUCUCUGUGGCACUGUGUAACCUUGCACCAUUUAUUCCUGGCAUUUAGGGGUAGGGAGCACACACCAGUGACCACACAUGGUUGCUGGGAGUAGUAGAAAGAAGGUUCUAGAAACAAGAGUGCUAAGUGCUACCCUGUCCUGUCAUAGCUUGCACCUGGGCACUCUGUCCUGCCCUUAACUUUUAGUUUGUUUACUCACGGGGAUGAGGCAGUGAAGGGCCUAGCAUGGAAGGCAGUCCACCAGGCACGGCCUGGUACUGGCUUACAUCUAACCGUAGAAUCUGCCCACUCCACUUGAGUUUUUGGAGUUAAGUGAACUGUAAUUAAUGAGGCAAAUAUUUGCCCUCACUAUGCCAUCAGAGAAAACAGGAUGCCUUUGCACAGAGCAAAUACCACUGACAGAAGGCUAAGCACAGCAACACAGGUGAAUCUCCAGUGGCAAAGUGGAGGUGUGGACAGGGAGCCCCCAAAGACCACGAGGCUAUGCCAUGGCCCAAGGGAUCUCAGGCUCCAUGCCUCUGGGGGAGAGAGUUAGUUUUGAAUGUUUAAAAUAAGACAGUGGAGAAGCUGCAAUCUGUAUAUCUACUGUUCCCAACGGGGCCUUGGGAUGGACUUGGCCAUUGGAAACAGUCCCGUGGUCAUCUGAUCCAAGGAGUGGCCUUGGGAAGACAGCCCCUGGGGUGGCCUGAGAUACCCCUUCCAAGAACAGAAGGCAAAGCUCAAAGUCACUGAGUUCUUGGUAGAAGGGAGCGGUCUGUUCCAAGUGUGUCCCACGUGCCACCUCUCCCUCCUUUAAUGUGGGUUUGGAUUUGUAACGAUUCCUGGGGUCAGGCUGCCUUCAGGGACACAAAGGCCCUGUGGCUCAACCUCCUCUCCCAAAGGCUGCUCUCAGUCUCCUCCUUGUAUGUCCCUUUGGAACAUCUUCCCAGACCCUUUCAGCCACCACUUGCAAAUGACAGGGCUCUGGGGGCCACGUUCACAAAAGCCCUACUUUCCAGGGCUAGGUCAGCUUCCCAGAGGAGAAGGGAAUUUGAGAGUGGGCUGGAACUGCUCCUCAGGUAUCUACAAAGGGAUCUUAGUGGACACACUGCCCACGAGGCCUCCGGAGACAGCCCUGCGGGGGAGGAGGUCCCUUUGUCCUUAAGAAGCAGAGAGUGAAGCAUGUCCCCAGGCCACCCUGGAGGGCUGAGAGAGGUUAGGACUUCAGAUCUCACCUGGAGAUAGGGCUAAGCUUUGGCCCAUACUCAAACCUCAAUGCCACCCACGCAAGGGUGGGAGCCCACUGACUUUGGUUGCCCUGGCUCAGUUAUAUGUCUAUUUCUACCUUAAAGGAUCCACUUGUGCCCCCAAGUUCUUGUAUGGGUAUUUUGACUUACAGCCAUCUCUUACCAGGGUAGCAGAAAACUGGGUACUCAGGCCCAUGGCUGGGCACACCUGGCUGAGGUCAGCUGUGGGAGGCCCAAUGUGCUGCCACCAUAAACUGUGGUCUAGAGGGGUAGCCGGCAGAUGGAGCAAGUGGUUUGCUGGUUCUGGGGUCUUUGCUGACAGAGGUUGGAAUGGCUGCAGGAUUGACAAACAGAAGUUCUGUCAGCUACUCCUGGGCUCUCAGAACUCCACUUAAAUGGUUGUCAUGCUAGGCACUUUGACCUGUCAGGUGACAUACUGGACUCCAUCCACAUCGUAUUCUGGCCUUAAUUUUGACAGCUAUGAUAACAGUCUUGGCCAGCUGAGUGCAGCCUACCUGUUCCAACAAAUGCAUUCCCUGUGUUUAGGGAAACAAGUGAUUGGGGACCACUGAGGACCACUGGAGGUCACUAGGGACUACGGGGGACCACUGGGGACCACUAGAGACCAUUGGAGACUGUUGGAGACUACUGGGGGCCACUGGGGACCACUGGAGACCAGCAGGGAUCCCUGGGGACCAGGGGAACAUCUGGGGACCACUAAAUAUUGUCUAGAAAUUGUCACUCCCUAGCAUGAGUGACAUUUGCAGGAUUCUCAGCCUGAGCCCAUCUCCUGGAAACUCCUAGUAUAACAGCUUGCUGGCCAGGCCCAGGUGACCCAGUGGUACAACAGCUGCCUUCUUAUCACCCAGAGAUCAGAGUCAGCUGCAGCCACCCUGACCAGUGUCACAGAUGGGGUCUUCAAUAGCAAUCACCCACACCAUCUGCUGUCCUGAAUGUUAGGAGUCAGAUGGGGGGAUGUGAGGGUGGCCUUCUCACAAGCCCUCUCUCCUUGUGUCAUAGAUGAUGUUCCCUUACUGCCUCUUCUGUGUCUGUGUCCUGAUCCCUGUUCAUGUAAGGACCCAUUGUGUGGCUUGGGGACAACCAGGGGAAGAGGACGAAUAAACACACGACAAGAAGAGUCUAAAGAAAAAUGAAGAAACAAAAGGUCAGAAGACAGCACCCUGGGCAAGGGUGGCAGAUGUGACUGUCAUAGAUGGGUCCUGAAGGGCACAGGGUGGAGAUCAGGCCCACAGAAAUGAGAGGUAGACAAAGGCCCUGAGGGCUGCUCUUCUGAAAUCCACUCCUGUUCUCUGGAAUGCCAUCCUGGGGAGGACUCUGCUCCACCCUGUGACUCAGGCCUCAGGCACUGCCCCUGAGUAAGAUGUAUUUACCCAGAAAGUUCUUAUCAAGACGUACACAGCUCAGCAGCUGAGCAUCCAUCUAGUUGAUGGCAAAUCAAACAAGUUCAGAGCUUCAGAAAGGCCACCCACUGCACUCACAGGGCCUCCUAGAUUCUGACUGGAAUGCAGGUGUGAGCUCACAGAACUGGGGAAGGAGAGAGACAAGUGGACAGGGCAGGUGCUGGCCACUCGAGGGGAACCCCUGCAUAAAAGACCAUGUGUCCUGGAGUAGCCCAGACACCCGAGGUGACAGUGACUUUUCCAGAUGCACCCACAGGUCACACAUUCCACAGGGGCACAGUCUCACUCAGUAGCCCAGGCUGCCCUAGGUCUCACCAUCUAACUACAGCUGAUGAACUUGUAGCCACCCUCCUGCCUAAGGAGGGGCUCAGAGUUUCCAUAGCCAAGGACUCCAAGUCAGCCACAGCCUGCCAGGCCGGCCUGAGGGUCAUCAUAAGGCCCAGGACGCUCACAUGCCACCACUCCUAUAACCCACAUCUGGGAUUUGGGACACAGGUCAUCUAGGAAUCUUAAAUGAAAAAAGGAGAGGUGAAGGAUGAGGGGAAAUAAAAAUGGCAGAAGAAAAAUAUUUUUUUCUACAGAGUCAAGUAGUCCCCUCUCAUUCUGCUUGAGCAGCUGUCAGUCACUCAACAAACACACAGGCCAUGUGACAGAAUUCCCAGCCACUAGGAUACACAGUUUACAUGGCAUUUGACCUUCCCUCCUCUAGAAGAUUCCACGAGGAAGGCUUCUUGGGACAGUCACAAGCUAAACAGAAUGAUCUCAGCCAUGGUUUUCAGCCAACCCAUCUCAUAGGUUGGGAAACUAAGGCUUGAGAGAAGAAUAUAGAGCCCUGACCUCUAUUCUGAUACAAACCUACAGCUUGCAGAUAGUAAUAAGAAGAAGAACCCCCAGCUCUCAGUUAGCAGGCAACUAUCCAGAUCUCAGACAACCUAUACUGGCCUCCCUUGCAGCUGCAUGUGGCCUGACUUGUUCUUGGUCCUUGAGAAUGAGUGACAUCAUAUGAGGUGGGGUAUAGUCAGCAGAGAGUACCUGUCUAGUGUGUAUGAGACAGCAUAACACACAACACCCCAAAACCAAACCAGACCAAACUGAAUGUGGACAGCCCCCGGAUGGGAAGGAAAUCCUUAUUUGCCCUUUAACCUCCUAUUGUAUGGGAUACAGAUUCAAUGGCUUGCUCUCAGGCAGCCAUCUUGGGCUACAAGAUGGAUGCCUGUGCUGGUUGCCGAAGACUCCUGGUCUCUAUGACUUCUCAGAGCUGACCUCUGAAAGACUUGCUGCUGGGUCAGCAAGGCCUUCCCUGGGUCCCUGAGAAAUGAGAAGGGUGUGGCCUUUCCUAGCUUCCUAGAACUGCAGAUACCUGCAACACCAAGCUGGAUGCCCUAGGGUCAUUGGGCCUUCCCAACAGCUCACGAAAGACAGGACCAUGAGGCACACACCCUAAAGCUUCACCAUGGAAGCUGGCAGCCAGCAUGGUGCUUGAGCACACACAGCCAUGGGUGCUGGACAUCUCCUUCAGGGUCCCCUUCCUCCUCCCCUGUCAUCUGCACUGCCAGUGUAUGGUCUAAACCUGGAGAUCCUGAUGCUGUCCUUAUCUCUAACCCAUACUGAAUUCACCAUAGACCCCACACACGCAGGGCAGUGACACAGCUCACCCAUGUCCCACACUGCCCUUGUCCUUCUCAAGAGCCUUGCCUGGCAUUUUACAGCUUGGUUCUUGUCUCCCUUCCCUUCUUGGUGUCACGCAGUUGGCGUCAUCAGAGGACCUUGUCAUGGCAGAGUGUGGUGUCCACUCUGCCAAAGAGGAGACAAGACCUGCGCACUCCCAGCAUCUGUAGAUGCCCUGCCUCAGAUCAGAUCCUUCCCAGGCUGGAGUUCACUCCCUCUGCCUUGAAAGAGAAUCGUGGACCCUUCAUGUGUCCCCUACACCCCUCACUGUUGCUUGGUAACCUCGAAUCCUGAAGAGGAGACUGUUUCCAUUCAACCCACACUCACCAGGGAAAGAGGAUAACCUUAUUUGUUCGAGAAUGUGACUGACAGGUGUCUGACUCUAGAGUACCAGGGCAAUCGCUUCUUGGCCUUUUGGCUAAGAUCAAGUGUAGAGUACCAGGGAAAUGGGAAGAAGACUAAAGGAUGUGACUUCCCACCACAUGGCUAGUGAUCUACUCACUGUGUGGCCAGAGAUCUUACAAGAGAGGAUCCUAAGUCACAGGCCUGUGUUGCCAACAGGUGUCUGAGGCAGGAGUAAGCAUGGGCUUUGCAGUCAGCAUAGGAAUAUCACCCAUUCCCUGGGCAGCUCUGGGCAAAAACGUCUGCCUUAGAUUUGAAACUCCAUCACCCUGAAGGUUCUGGAUGCCACCUCUAGGGUCUAAAUGGCUGAGACACAAAUUCUAUUCUGCCAUAGAGAGCCCCAGAGAGCCCUGUCCUGACCCACUCAGCUCAAAAGCUAUAGGUGGGAACUCCCAUUUUUCAGAAUUCUCCAAAGGAAGCCAGGCAGCAUCCCAGAACCACCUGGGAGACUCCUAGCAAACAACAGACCCCUACUGCUAUUUCCCAACACCCAGUGUGGCUACUGUGUCCAACACCCAGUGUGGCUGGUUGAGGGCAACAGGGAGGAAGGGGCCUUCAGAUAGCCGAAGACCUCAAGACAGGAUACCCCUGAGGUUACUCCAGAUUGUAGAUUAAAGAUGUCCUUGCCCAGUGUGAGUGGCCCCUCCCCAAGUCUGGACUUGUGGACACUUGCAGACCAGCACUUACUUCACUUCUCUGGGCACCAGCUUUACUUUAGGACUGACAGCUCCAGGCUCUCCCAUCUGCCCUUGGAAGUGGGGGCUUGGUUUCAGGGGUAUGCCAGCCUUGGCCCAGAGAGUCUGUGGGAAACAGUAACCUCCCAGCACAGGCCUCACUUAGAGAAGUCUUCCCUCUGCCCUGUGGGAGGAGACGGCUCAGCCAGAGUACCAGAUGUUGGUCUGUUGCUUAUCUGGCCACCACUCACGUCCUCAUAAGUGGAGGAGUGAAGACCUUCAUUUAUACAUCAAUCAUUGGUCCAGGGUGGGCCUGAGAGCCAUGCAGCAGCCAGGAAUUAGGUGGGCACUAGUGGGUCACUAUCAGGGCACCAGCACAACACCAGUCAAGUGUGGCAGCUGGCUUCCCAGGAGACAGAGGUAGGGAGCUUGGCUCUGAGGUCCCAUCCCACCCCAUGGAAGGACCCUAGAGUCCAAAAAUCAGAAGGGUACCAAUCUCAAGAAGCCAAGCAGCAGACAGGGCAGUGAUCUACCCACAGCUAAAGGGAGGGACAGGUCCCCACCUCUGAGUUCUGUUCUCCAUUAUCACAUCUCCUGACAGGAGUCUCAAGAUAGAGACACAAAUGCCAUGCAAGCCAGUCUACCUACUGUGUGUCCUCAGACCAGUAACUUAACUUCUCUGGGCCUUGUCUUUACUACUAAUAAAGCCAUAUCACCAGUUUUAGGAGCUAGUGAGCCCUGUUCCAGUA
Long non-coding RNA from Mus musculus (house mouse), 6605 nucleotides. RefSeq annotates it as RIKEN cDNA D930030F02 gene. The record is from RefSeq and is a predicted model, not a curated record. The transcript is spliced from 4 exons. NCBI's taxonomy places the organism in Eukaryota, Metazoa, Chordata, Mammalia, Rodentia, Muridae.